GCUUUAUUGAUCUUCAAAGUUCUGGCCACCAUUCACUUGCAUUGUAUGGACCAACAGAGCUGAAAUAUUCUUCUAAAAAUCUUCAUCUGUGUUCAGUAGAAGAAAGAAGGUCAUACACAUCUGGGAUGGCAUGAGGGUAUGCAAGUGUGGAAUGACUACAUGGUGAGGGACUGUUUUCCACAACAUCCCUUGUGAGCUUGUGAGUUUCAGAGAAGAUAACAGGUCCCUGGAGGAGUGACUCCCUCCUGAACACUUGUCUUAUGACGAUCUCAUUGGUUUAUGCCAGAUGUGAUGGAUGUUUGGCAGAUUACAGCUAUUAACAUUAAAUGUUGGCAGGUGUUGUUUCUACCAGUUCCUCUCAAGUGAUAUGUAUUUAAGUUAUACAAACAAGGGGCCACAAAAGAGGACACCAUUCAUUCCUAUUAGAGAGGGAAAGAAAAGAAGCAAUUCUGUGUUGGCAGAUUGCUGCAUAUAUUCUAGCACGUACCCUGAACAAUGUCCUGACUUAAAUUGAGUUAACUAAGAAAAACUGACUAUUUUGACCUUGGAGGUAUUUCAUAUCAAGAUGUACAUAGCUGAGCGAUCUGGAAUGAAAUUUCAGAGGAUCGUCAGCUUAAGGUUAAAAUACAGAACAGCUGCGUAGUAGCUGCAAUAAUCUCACAGUGUGAAAGCCCAGAGGGCAGCAGAUGUGUCAGAGUUUGUUUGUUUUUUCAUGCAAGAUUGGCCAGAAAUAUGCACAAACACUGUGACAAAAAGAGUGACCUGACAAAAAAAAAAAAAAAAAAAAAAAACAUUUACAAAUAAUUAAAAAUAAAAAUAAAAAAUCUUAAAUGCCAUUCAUAAAAA
Long non-coding RNA from Myxocyprinus asiaticus (Chinese sucker), 846 nucleotides. RefSeq lists it as uncharacterized. The transcript is spliced from 2 exons. Lineage: Eukaryota; Metazoa; Chordata; Actinopteri; Cypriniformes; Catostomidae. The record is from RefSeq and is a predicted model, not a curated record.